CUUCAGUGAUGAUACAAUGACGAGUCGGAACGGGGCACAGUCUGUCUUGGGGGGGGGGGUGUCACUGAGUCAGAGUCAUGUUUUGUUUCUCUGGGUUCAGUUCCCCAGAGCAGUGUCUCUUCAGUUGAAGACAUAGAGGCAUUUGUCUAAGAAGA
RNAcentral lists this small nucleolar RNA (155 nucleotides) under Oncorhynchus kisutch (coho salmon). The record is from RNAcentral. Lineage: Eukaryota; Metazoa; Chordata; Actinopteri; Salmoniformes; Salmonidae.